UUUGUUCACUCUCCUUCAAAGGCUUCCGACAUUAGUAUCUUAUAAUUACUUUUGUUUGUGCUAGUGCCGGAGGUCUUUAAGGAAAGUGAACAA
RNAcentral lists this microRNA precursor (93 nucleotides) under Nicotiana attenuata. RNAcentral describes it as "pre miRNA MIR473". The record is from RNAcentral. Lineage: Eukaryota; Viridiplantae; Streptophyta; Magnoliopsida; Solanales; Solanaceae.